This is a long non-coding RNA of Apis cerana (Asiatic honeybee), 4284 nucleotides long. RefSeq lists it as uncharacterized. The record is from RefSeq and is a predicted model, not a curated record. NCBI's taxonomy places the organism in Eukaryota, Metazoa, Arthropoda, Insecta, Hymenoptera, Apidae.
UUUAGCUCUGCUCAUGUGUAAUCUUCUCCACGAAAGACCUUCAGGGCCAUCUUGUUCCUCUAUUUGUCUGGAGGAAGGUGUUGGAGAUCCUGGUGAUCCCGCGCACGCACAACAACAUGUGUACGGCAUGUUAUUUAUCGAGAACUAACUCGCUCUGAGACGGGCACAACGAUGGGCUCUUGGAAUUAUAGCUUGGAUAACUGGAUUCAUUGGUCUGCAUCUGUUUCGGCAAAUAAUCCAAAGAAGGUGGCCUGAUUCUCUGCGUACCGUAAGACAAUUGGAUAAGAUCGAUCUGAGUCGCUUUGCUCGACUUUUUCACCGUUUCCUCGCUGCUUUUGUGCGGGCCGACUGCAUUGUUCUUAUCGUACUUCUCGUUCGUAACUUUUACAUCUUGGAUCAGCGUACUGUUAAAAGAUUUCCCUUCGCCGAGAUUAUUAUUCGACAUAAUUGCUUAUUCGUUAUCUCCUAUUUCCGUAUUGUCGAAGUCUCAUCGUCAACAACAUCUGUCGUCAAAAGGUUUUCGAUAUCAGUACCUCGUCGAUACUCCAUCCAUCGUUCUGGAAAGAGAGAUCAAAGAAUCUUAGCGCAAUUUUCACGAACACCCGACAUUAUCAUCGUUUCCUUUCCAACGUUAAAUCACUGCAGAGUGCAUACGUACGAUCACCGAUUAUCAUGCGUUCCAGUUUUUUUGCACCAUAUCCCAUAGCCUCUUUUUCUCUCUCUCUCUCUCGUGCCACUUUUCCCGAAUUAGGAUUCCUUUUGACGAAUUAAACUGUAGUCGAUAUUCCCAUACUAUAUAUUAUUGUAUAUAUAUCGUCGUGACACUGAACAAUUAAUUACAUCCGUUCCAGGUGGCGAGCGCACACGCAUUUUUCCCAACGCAUUAAUUUAGAAAGCGGUUUAAGCAUGGAACGAUCGUCCGGACCAGAGUAGCGAGUAGCUGCAAGUUAUUAUAGUCGAAUACUGACCAACGAAAACGCGGCGUUGCAUCGUCGUUCAGACACACAUGACGUAUUCGUCUGAAUCAUAACAAUAGUAUUAAUUGCCUCGGAACCAUAUCGGCUACAUAAUAACCGGCUACACGACCUUAACGUACGUGAGUUCUACCUGACCGUUCCCGUAUACCUGUAAUAUCUCUUAUGUAUUACCUCUCCUCUCUCGCGGGUUUCCGUUGAAAGAUGCGACCGCGGCCAAUGACGCUUGUUUUCUUGCUUUUAAAAUGGAGAUAAGGUAAUCGUGGGGAGCGUGUCGAGCCCAGGUAUCGAGAUGCCACCGUGGCAAUCGUGUAAUUAAUUGCAUUGCUCGAGAGGAAAUCUCUCUCUGGUCAAUUUUCAUAUUCCCUUAGUUACGCUCCGUUUGGUUCUGUCUGGUCGAGUGAGAAUGUUUUUGAUCGGGAAAGUUUCUCCAUCUUGAUUACGAUAUCCGCGAUUAUCUCUGCAUUUAAUGGUUUUUACCUUGUCAUAAUUAAUUUUUUUUUUUUUUAAAGGAAAAAAAAGAGACGAGGAUUGAAAAUAUUUUGCGCGAUUGUAAUUAGAAAUAUCGGAUAAUUUAUCUUAAUUGCGUUUAACUAUGUCGAGACAAAAUACCGGUUGAAAUAAAAUUUUCUCGAAGGUAUUUAGCCAAAGUUUUCAAGUUUAUCGUUUUAUUUAAAAUUCAAAAUGUUUCUUUUGCCAAAGGUAUUUUAAAUUGUGGAAUAAAUGGAAUUAUUUACAUAAGAUGAGGAUUUUAUGCUUACGAAUGAUACGUGGCAUUUUCUUCGCGUGUUUGCACAUAGAUAAGUGGAUUUUGAAUUCGUUGGAACACAAUCGGGAGUUAUUGCGGAAAAACCAUUUUCGAUGGCGAAUACAACGACGAGAUGGAAAUAUCAUUUACGAAAGAUUGAUUAUUCUGGACAAAAUAAUAUUUGAAUAUAUUUGAAUAUAACGCAAUAAUGCAUAUUUGAUGCGUCGUUAAAACUAAUCAUACUAAAUUUUAAAUUUAUAUGAUUGGAAAAGAAAAAGAAAUAUUUACUGAAAAAAAAAAACUGAACAUGAGCUGACUUCGAUCGAUAAAAAUAAGUACUUGACAUAUUUUCUAUUCUUUUCUUUCCUAUCAGUAGUUACUCAGCAAUGAUUAGAAGCAAACGUAUAAAAUUUUUCGUUUAUUUACAACUUACGAAAUAAUAGAAAAUGGAUCGAAGAUUUUAACGAAGAUUUCACCAUGAAAAUUACAAAUUUUUUUUCAUAUAAGAGUCACAACAUUAUAUACAAUUUUAGGAAAAAUUCAAAAAUUUAUGGGAAACAAAAAUUGAAAAACUUUGUAUCAGUUAUAAUAUAGAAAAUGAUUACAGAUAUUUUUUUUUUAUUUUAAAAACACUGGAAGAAAAGUAGAAAAAUCAGUGGAAAGUGAAGGUUUUAUCUAGAUGAAGAAUACAUUUUAUAAAAAGGAAAUUGUAUAAGUUUGGUUAUGAUUAUGAGAAAAUUGACACUGAAAUAUACAUGUAAUGUACAAAAAAUAAUUUAAUGAUAUUAAAAAAUUAAAAGAUAAUAUUAAAAAUUGAAAUUAAAUUACUAUUAAAAUAGAAAAAAAUAAAAAAUAACAUAAAACAAUUCAUUUAUUUAAUAUUGUACAAUGAAAAAUAAUUUUAACGAAUAUUGACAUUAUAUUUGAUAAAAUAUUUGUGUAAAACAAUUCUAAUUUUUAAUCAAUAUCGCAUCAUUGUAUGAUUAUUUUUUGUUAAUUCAAUUUAUAUUCAAAUUUUUUUAAAAUGCUUAAACUUUUUUUUUUUAAUCUAAGAUUUAAAAUGUUUAUUUAUAAAGUAUAUUUUUUCUUCGAAUUUUGCGAAAUAUUUAAAUAUAUUAAAUGUUUUAUCUAUUCAAGGGAAUCGUUAAUUUAUGUUAAUUUAUGUUACAAGUAUUAAUGAUAUAAUCAUCAUCGAUAUAAUCAUCCGUGAGUAAAUAAUAUAAUUUAUUACAAUACAUUAAUCGUAUUUCUUUUUGUUUUCACAUUGCGCGAUUAAAAAGUCAUUUAUAUAAAUGACUAUUUUAAAUAUUUAAAAAUAUUUCACGGCCAUUAUAUAUUCCUUUAUUGGUAUUCUGUGGAGUAGGAAUGACGAUGCAAGAUCAGUUUCAAGGAAUCAUGUGUGAAUGUGUGCCACUGAUUUACAGGGAAAAUUUUAUCUAUUCGUUAUUUCAUUUGCAUAUCAAUUGUACGUUUAAAGUUAGUGAGAAUUAGAAGAAUGGGAAAAACCUGUGAGAAUUUAUUUUUAUUUUUUUUUUUUGAGAGAAUAAAUUUUAUUUUAUUAUUUUUUUUUCCAAAAUAUUUUCCUUCUUUUAUUACAGAUUCUUCUUUCCUUUAUUUGAUAAAAAAGUUUUAUUUAUAAGUAAAAAGGAAUGAAACUUGAGAUUAAGUAAUAUUUAUAAGUGAUAUUUAUGUUAAGUGUAUCUAGAAGAGAUUGGGGAACUGAGAUCUGAAUAAAGAGAUAAAAAUGGUAAAGGGAACAAUUUUUUUUUAUUUCAUGUAUAUUCUUUAAAGCUAAACAGAUUUCAGACUACUGUAAAAUGAAGGUACACGCAAAAUAUGGAUGAAGAUAGAUUUUUUGAUAAUUGUAAGACAAGAAUUUAUAUAUUAUAAUAUUAUAUUUCCAAAAUUAUUCAAAAUUUUUAUAAUAUUAAUAAAUAUUUUUAUUAUCGUAAAAAUAACAAUAUAAAGUUAUAUAUUAGUAUAAUUUAUUAAAUAUAUAUUGUUAUAUUUUUUUAAAAUCAAAAAUAAUCAUAGGAAAUUAAAAUUUAGGAAGUAAAUUUAAGUUAUUCAAGAAAAUAUUAGAAAAAAUAUUAUAUGAUCUCAUCCAUUGAAUGAUUUAUGAUAUAUUUUUACAAAAAUAUAUGAUUUGCAUAAUCUUCCUAUCAAAUUUAAAUUUUCACCAUAAUUACGAAAUCUAAUGCAAUGUAUUUCCUACUCUAUGUUUCGGAAUUCUUAAUGUUAUCGAUUCGGUUUAAGAUAAGAUUGUAAUAAAUGAAUGAAAUUAAAAUUGAAUUUCAAUAUAAAAUUAUAAUAAUAAAAAAUAAUAAUAAAAAAAAAUAUAUUAAAAAAAAUAUUUUAUUUUAAUAUAUCAUUUUUAGGUAUAUAUUAAUAUUUUAAAUAUUGUAUAUGUAUUUUAUACAUGAUUUAUAUAUAAUAAAUAAUUAGAAUGAUUGUUCCAUAUUAAUAUUGUAUCACACUAUUAUAUCAUAUGUAUUUUUUUUUUAUAACUACUGAAAAAUAUUUUUAUUAAGCAAAGGUUAGAAAUAAACUUUUAUUUUGCAA